This 379-nucleotide long non-coding RNA is filed under the name Androctonus crassicauda. Lineage: Eukaryota; Metazoa; Arthropoda; Arachnida; Scorpiones; Buthidae. The record is from RNAcentral.
CAUUACUUGAUGUACCAGAAGACAUUGACUGGGCAUGUAUUUCGGGGAAUUGAUUUUGUUAGUUUUGUUGAUUGUGAUGCUGAUGUUGCCAUAUGUUGUGUGCAGAGUGGUGGUGAUAUAAUUAUGGAAGUUGUACCAUCAUCAGUUGAAAGUAAUAAUUCAGAGAAAUCUGAAGUAUCAGAUGGCGAAUCUUGGAUCCUCCCAGUCUGGCAGAAGCACUUAGUGCACUGGAAGUAACACAAUGUUACAUAAGGUUAAUAAACAUUAGUGAUGACAAGAUGUGUACAGUAGUUGCAUAUGAAGGCUCGAUCUAUGAAUGUAGUAUUGCAUCUAAAAAACAAUUUCUUUAUGCCAAAAUAACUGUAUUUGCCCAUCAUCG